UGGGAAACAGGUUAAUAUUCCUGUACUUGGUGUUACUGCGAAGGGGGGACGGAGAAGGCUAUGUUGGCCGGGCGACGGUUGUCCCGGUUUAAGCGUGUAGGCUGGUUUUCUAGGCAAAUCCGGAAAAUCAAGGCUGAGGCGUGAUGACGAGGCACUACGGUGCUGAAGCAACAAAUGCCCUGCUUCCAGGAAAAGCCUCUAAGCAUCAGGUAACAUCAAAUCGUACCCCAAACCGACA
This 238-nucleotide ribosomal RNA is filed under the name Escherichia coli. RNAcentral's name for it is "partial 23S ribosomal RNA". It matches the Rfam family "Bacterial large subunit ribosomal RNA", at positions 1419 to 1659 of the family's 2925-position model. Lineage: Bacteria; Pseudomonadati; Pseudomonadota; Gammaproteobacteria; Enterobacterales; Enterobacteriaceae. The record is from RNAcentral.